CACCGUUCAAUAUCCCCUGCUUCCGCGUAUUCUGCUGGCCUCGUGCUCCAGUCGCAGUUGAUGGCAAUAUUGCAUCUGAUUGGUCCAGUGAAGCUGAUUGGUCCCACUUCGACGUUUUACAAGUAUGUUGGGAGAUUUCGAUGUUUACCAACUACAUAAUCAUCAACAAGGUACGGUAAAACAGAACUUACUAGACUGACUGAUGUACAUUCAUCCCUCACUGUAGAGGUUAUAUGAAAUCGCGUCAUCUGAAUUAUGGCGUCCAGCCCGACUGAUCCAAUAUAUACACUAGAUAUCGCAUGGGGACCCUGAACAUGCGUCAAUAGCGCCGCCACAUUUGUACAGUGCUCCCAGGACAUGUCAUUCAACCGCACCAGUCACGACAGUGUGCCAGUGUGAAGAUGCUGGACUUUAGCGCUAUGUACGGGGGUAGUAACGAGAAAACGAAGCACAAAGGCAGAACAUUUCAUAGCUAGAGGCUAGAUCCGUGUAAGGGACGGAGCCAGAGGAAUGAUGGAGAGAGAGAAUGAGAUGAUAUGGACACAGGCGAGCGUGCGUGCACCGUGCCUCUCCUCUUCUCACCGUCUUUGGGAGCAGGGGAGGAGGAGGUGAUGGAAGGAGAGCGGAGGUACGAGGAUGGGAUAGCAGCGGAGGUGUGCACGAAGAGAGAAGGAGCAGCGGCACAGGAGAGAGGAGAGAAGGAAGGAAGGAGUCGGUGCAGCGUCGGUUCCCAGAGGAGCUUGUCAGAUAUCCCAGUCGCACACUUUGUUCCCGUCUGGCAGAUGCACAAAGCAGCAAUGUAGACAGUCGUCGGAUCUGGAUCUCUGCACGCACAGCUGAUGGGACUCAAACCCUCCACAGGAAGAACCAGACGUGAGCUGAGAUGUUGUGAAGCACACAGGAAACGGCACAAACUCCAGGCAGACUGCAGUAUCCGUAAAAAGUCCAGGUGUAACAAUGCUGUUGUUCCUCUGUGAUGUUCUUUUCUUUAUUACCCGCCUCCCUCGUCUGCUUGCUUUGUUGCGCGCGCGAGAGUGUGUGUGCGAGAGUGAGUGUGAGUGUGUGUGCUUGUGUGAGAGUGUGUGAGUGAGUGUGUGUGUGUGCGCGCUGCCGGCUGCUCCACACUGUGGGGAAGAUUGAAAGGAUCAGCUCGGGCACCGCCGCGUUCCUCCUCCUCCACAGCAUGGUGGGCGGGACUAAGGGCUGGCUGCUCCACUCCCAGACAGGGGAGUGUCUUAAGGAGCCUAUCUCUGUUUGUCCUCAUGGGAAAGCUGCCGCCCACUGCAUGGCUUCACUAGUGCAGAAGGGAACGACUUACUCUUACUCCCACACUCUGGGGGGAGGAGACUGAGGAAGACACAGCAAGGAGCCGAGGCCCCCUACUGGUCAAUCACAGACUCUACCUCAUCUGAUCUCCUUUUUACCAUGUUUGCUUCUAUUUUUUUUGUCCAAGUGUAUUUUUAACUUCAGUUUCUGCAAUAUAUAAAACAUGAAUGACCA
Molecule: long non-coding RNA, 1500 nt
Filed under: Danio rerio (zebrafish)
Lineage: Eukaryota; Metazoa; Chordata; Actinopteri; Cypriniformes; Danionidae
Description: si:dkey-103m22.1 (ENSDARG00000097794.3)
Source: RNAcentral